Herpailurus yagouaroundi (jaguarundi) is the source of this 724-nucleotide long non-coding RNA. RefSeq lists it as uncharacterized. Lineage: Eukaryota; Metazoa; Chordata; Mammalia; Carnivora; Felidae. The record is from RefSeq and is a predicted model, not a curated record. The transcript is spliced from 2 exons.
CGACGUGGGGCUCAAACUCACGAAUCGUGAGAUCGUGACCUGAGCUGAAAUCCAGUCGGACGCUUAACCGACUGAGCCACCCAGGCGCCCCUGGUGUUCCUGACUCCACUUGCCACCUGAAGGCACGCUUUCUGGUUUCCCCGUGUCUGCCUGGUGCUCCUUCAAGCCCCUGGUGCUUGAUUCAUCAGACCACGAUGAUCUGCUCUGGGGACAUGAAUGAAGAGUGCCAGGCUGACCAGAUCCUGGAAAGUUGGAUAAAAGGUCCAGACUCUGAGCAGCAGCCAGCCAGCCAGUAUAUACAAAUGGUGGACCAGUCACUUGCUUAGUGACCACAUCGGUGCCACCUACUCUCCCACAAAAUGAAGAACAGGGUCACUUAGCCUCCUAGGUAAUUAAUCCAGUUACCUGAAAACUCAACCCUGUGCCUUUCUGAAGGCCCAGACAUAAAUUUUUUUUUUGGCAAGUCAAUAUAUAUAUAUAUAUUUUUUUGUCAUUAAGAAUUUGGACUUUGAAGUCAGACAGAACUUACCCUUAAAUUCUGGCUCAGAGCUUCCUAGUCGUGUUACUUUGGGCAAUUCCUCUUAGCUUUUUGAGCCUCAGUUUCCCUAGCAGCAAAAGGAUAAUAAUAAAAUGUGACCUAUGACAUUGUUGGAGGAUUGGAUUGAAUAAUGAGCAAAAAGGGUUAUGCAUGAUGCCUGACAAAAAUUAAUUACUGGAUAAAUAA